This 440-nucleotide ribosomal RNA is filed under the name uncultured bacterium. Its description in RNAcentral is "partial 16S ribosomal RNA". It matches the Rfam family "Bacterial small subunit ribosomal RNA", at positions 338 to 795 of the family's 1533-position model. The record is from RNAcentral.
CCUACGGGUGGCAGCAGUAGGGAAUAUUGCUCAAUGGGGGAAACCCUGAAGCAGCAACGCCGCGUGAAGGAUGAAGGCUUUCGGAUUGUAAACCCCUUUCGUCAGAGAAGAUUAUGACGGUAUCUAACGAAUAAGCACCGGCUAACUCCGUGCCAGCAGCCGCGGUAAUACGGAGGGGGCAAGCGUUACUCGGAAUGACUGGGCGUAAAGGGUGCGUAGGUGGGAUUUUAAGUCAGGGGUUAAAUCCUGAAGCUUAACCAGAGUAACGCAUUUGACACUGGGACUCUGGAGUGUAGGAGAGGUAAGUGGAAUUCUUAGUGUAGCGGUGAAAUGCGUAGAGAUUAGGAGGAAUACCAGUUGCGAAGGCGACUUGCUGGAACAUUACUGACGUUGAGGCACGAAAGCGUGGGGAGCAAACAGGAUUAGAUACCCGAGUAGUC